This 533-nucleotide ribosomal RNA is filed under the name uncultured archaeon. Its description in RNAcentral is "bacterial SSU rRNA". It matches the Rfam family "Archaeal small subunit ribosomal RNA", at positions 467 to 997 of the family's 1478-position model. The record is from RNAcentral.
GCGGGAACACCGGCGGCCCGAGUGGUGAUCGUGAUUAUUGGGUCUAAAGGGUCCGUAGCCGGUUUGGUCAGUCCUCCGGGAAAUCUGAUAGCUCAACUAUUAGGCUUUCGGGGGAUACUGCCAGACUUGGAACCGGGAGAGGUAAGAGGUACUACAGGGGUAGGAGUGAAAUCUUGUAAUCCCUGUGGGACCACCUGUGGCGAAGGCGUCUUACCAGAACGGGUUCGACGGUGAGGGACGAAAGCUGGGGGGCACGAACCGGAUUAGAUACCCGGGUAGUCCCAGCCGUAAACGAUGCUCGCUAGGUGUCAGGCAUGGCGCGACCGUGUCUGGUGCCGCAGGGAAGCCGUGAAGCGAGCCACCUGGGAAGUACGGCCGCAAGGCUGAAACUUAAAGGAAUUGGCGGGGGAGCACAACAACGGGUGGAGCCCUGCGGUUUAAUUGGACUCAACGCCGGACAACUCACCGGGGGCGACAGCAAUAUGUAGGCCAAGCUGAAGACUUUGCCUGAAUCGCUGAGAAGUGGUGCAUGG